UGCGUAGGCGGCGCGGUAAGUCGGGUGUGAAAUCUCGGAGCUUAACUCCGAAACUGCAUUCGAUACUGCCGUGCUUGAGGACCGGAGAGGAGACUGGAAUUUACGGUGUAGCGGUGAAAUGCGUAGAUAUCGUAAGGAAGACCAGUGGCGAAGGCGGGUCUCUGGACAGUUCCUGACGCUGAGGCACGAAGGUCAGGGGAGCAAACG
This 207-nucleotide ribosomal RNA is filed under the name uncultured bacterium. RNAcentral describes it as "partial 16S ribosomal RNA". It matches the Rfam family "Bacterial small subunit ribosomal RNA", at positions 568 to 774 of the family's 1533-position model. The record is from RNAcentral.